UUGGGACUGAGAUACGGCCCAGACUCCUACGGGAGGCAGCAGUGGGGAAUAUUGCACAAUGGGCGGAAGCCUGAUGCAGCGACGCCGCGUGGGGGAUGAAGGCCUUCGGGUUGUAAACUCCUUUCGACAGGGACGAAGCUUUUGUGACGGUACCUGUAUAAGAAGCACCGGCUAACUACGUGCCAGCAGCCGCGGUAAUACGUAGGGUGCGAGCGUUGUCCGGAAUUACUGGGCGUAAAGAGCUCGUAGGUGGUUUGUCGCGUCGUCUGUGAAAUUCCGGGGCUUAACUCCGGGCGUGCAGGCGAUACGGGCUGACUUGAGUGCUGUAGGGGAGACUGGAAUUCCUGGUGUAGCGGUGAAAUGCGCAGAUAUCAGGAGGAACACCGAUGGCGAAGGCAGGUCUCUGGGCAGUAACUGACGCUGAGGAGCGAAAGCAUGGGUAGCGAACAGGAUUAGAUACCCUGGUAGUCCAUGCCGUAAACGGUGGGCGCUAGGUGUAGGGGGCUUCCACGUCUUCUGUGCCGUAGCUAACGCAUUAAGCGCCCCGCCUGGGGAGUACGGCCGCAAGGCUAAAACUCAAAGGAAUUGACGGGGGCCCGCACAAGCGGCGGAGCAUGUGGAUUAAUUCGAUGCAACGCGAAGAACCUUACCUGGGCUUGACAUAUACAAGACAGGCGUAGAGAUACGUCCUCCCUUGUGGUUUGUAUACAGGUGGUGCAUGGUUGUCGUCAGCUCGUGUCGUGAGAUGUUGGGUUAAGUCCCGCAACGAGCGCAACCCUUGUCUUAUGUUGCCAGCAUUUGGUUGGGGACUCAUGAGAGACUGCCGGGGUCAACUCGGAGGAAGGUGGGGAUGACGUCAAAUCAUCAUGCCCCUUAUGUCCAGGGCUUCACACAUGCUACAAUGGUUGGUACAACGCGCAGCGACACUGUGAGGUGGAGCGAAUCGCUGAAAGCCGGCCUUA
This 962-nucleotide ribosomal RNA is filed under the name Corynebacterium striatum. RNAcentral describes it as "bacterial SSU rRNA". It matches the Rfam family "Bacterial small subunit ribosomal RNA", at positions 313 to 1290 of the family's 1533-position model. Lineage: Bacteria; Bacillati; Actinomycetota; Actinomycetes; Mycobacteriales; Corynebacteriaceae. The record is from RNAcentral.